This is a non-coding RNA of Equus caballus (horse), 6320 nucleotides long. NCBI's taxonomy places the organism in Eukaryota, Metazoa, Chordata, Mammalia, Perissodactyla, Equidae. The record is from RefSeq and is a predicted model, not a curated record.
ACUUUAGAUGCACAUUCUAUUGGACAAUCUGAAAAUAAUGCUAUUUUUAUGUGUGUGUGGAUAUGUGUGAAUUAACUUAGAUAUGUAUAUAGAGGUCAGUGUGUGCGUGUAUGUGUGUGUAUAUGUGUGUUUGUGUGUGUGUGGAAAGAGAGACGGACAGAGAGACAGAGACAGAGAGACAGAGACAGAAUCUGUUCUAAGCAGCCAUGACGUUUCCAACAGACAGAAAUUUCUAAAAUGUUGUCUUUCUAAUAAUUACAGCCACGUAUGUUCUGCUUAUCUAUUUCUACAUCAUAAACUCCCACAAAACUUAAUGAGUUAAAACAGCAAUAUAUUAUCUUUCAUGAUUUGAGGGAGGGAUGGGCAGAACUAUUCGGUCGUCAUUUGGGGUCCCUAAUAUAGAUGCAGUCAGAUGGCAACUGAGGCUGGAGUCAUCAGAAAGCUUCUUCGACCUUCUUUCACUUAGCCUGAGAUGCCUGGACUAAGGGGGAAGUUGGUCAUCUCUCUCUCUACAUGACCUCUUCCUGUGGCUACCUUGGCCUCCCUCACAGCCUGACAAUCUCAAAAGUUGGACUUCUUCCCUGGUGACUCAGAACUCCAAGAGAUUCAAGGGGAGGAAGCAUGCAUCUUGAUUCUCAAUGGGAGAACUGUCAAAAGAUUGAGGCCAUCUGUGAUCACAGAUGUUGUGAAUAUAUAUGUACAUGGCACAUAGAUGUAUCACACAGAUAUACACGCCUUCUGUACUAGGCUGCACUGUAUGUAAUUCUGUACGUGGACUACUCCCUGUACUGAUGGGGUUUUAUUUCCCUUACUUCACCUCUUCCUCACAACUCUACCAGGUGGCUAUUGUAAUUCCCUUUUUUGCAUAUUUGGAAGUAAAUACAGAGUAAUUUGUUCUAGGUUAGAUAGCUAAGCAUUAGUGAUUCAAGUGGAAUUUGAAUCUAGUGAUGUAAGAACGUUAAUCCUGGGAAUUGCUAGGAUGAUGUGAUUAUCUAGAAGACGCUUCACCAGGGAAUGUACCUAAAUGCUCAUGGCUUUACAAAAUCAUAGAAAUUUUGAGCUUGGAAGAAAUUUAGGGAUUAUCUUUCUUAACAUCAUUUUUUCAUAUAAAGAAAUGGAUUUUCAGGAAAAAUAGGAAAGCAAUGCUACGAAGUAUAGUGGCCAUAGUCUGAGAGACUUGACUUGCAACCCUGUGGCUCUGUCCUUAUCUUCUGUGGAACCUCUAAACACUAUCACCUUCCGUUCCUCCAUCUGUUCCAUAGUUAUCUAUCUGUUGCAGCAUAACAAACUGCUCCAAAGCUUAGAGUCUUCAAACAGCCCAAAUUUACUAUAUCUCUGGACUGUGCGGUUACCUGGGAGUUUUUCUGCCAAUCUUAAUUUGAGUUUGCUCAGGUGCUGCUUGUUCCCCUGAGCCUGAGAUCAGUGGAGACAACUGAAUUGUCAGAAAUCUUUCUGCAAGUGGUCUUUCAUUGCAAGCUUCCUCACUGCAUGACAAUCUCAGGGCAGCAUCCCCAAAUGCAAAGGCAGAAGCUGCAGUCCUGUUGAGGUCCAAGCUCUGGAACUCACUUGAUGUAACUUCUGCCAGUUUCUAUUGAUAGAAGCAACUCACAUGGCUGGACCAGAUUCAAGGUGAGGUGAAAUGGAUUCCACAUCUUUACGGCAGGAGCUGCCCAUAACACACAGCCGUAUUGAAUCGACCACAAUCUCUAACGUGGAAACAUAAACUGAAAAGUGUCUUAUAACAACAAAAUAAUAACAUUUGUAAAGUGUUUAAUGCAGUACUUGGAUUUUCAAUAAAUUUUCAACACAUAACUUCUGCUGUUUUUCAUGUUAUAAUGGUUGUUUGUGAGGACUUCUCAACAACCAGUUUAUUUACAAAUUCAGACUUUGUGAUCAGGUUAUAUAAUACAUGGUUUUGUAUUCUUUCUUCUCCAGAUAGUGGCUUUGUUUGGUGUGUAUUUCAAAUUCUGCUUCAAGGUUAAAAGUAAUUUACUUUUGGACUGCCAGCUCCUCUAGUCCCAAACCAGCUCCCCCAUCUCCUUUACUUCUUGUUAUUUUUCUCUAUAGGAUAUAUCACUAUCUAACAUAAAUAUAUAUUUCAUUUAUUUCCCCUUAUGUCUAGAAUGUAAUAUUCAUGAGAGAAGUACCAUUAUACGUUUUCUUUCCUUAUGUAACCCCAGGGACUAGAAACUAACUGAUACAUAGUAGGUGUUCAACGUGUGGGGUGAGCAGAUGUGUGCAUGAACGAUUAUUCCACCUGUUUCAAGAUCCAUUCCACAUCGACAAACGGUAGCACAAGCAUUAACCACAUUGAUUUUCUUGUAAAGCGAAAUUAGCAAAACUUGUUUAACAUCAGCAGCUUUUUUGAAUAUUUGGUUUUCUUUUGGUGACACCUAUAUUUCAAAGAGAUCUCCCUCCUGCCAGAGAAAAGAAUAUCUACUGGACAGCAUGUCAUUCUUUUCCGUGUAUUUUAAACAUUCCCAAAAUAAGUCUAAAUGCAUCAUCACCUCAUAGAAAUUUUUAAAAAUAGGAUUUUUAGCUCUUGGCUCAAUGUCAAGGAACUUGGAUUAUGUUCAAGAACCCACGAAUCCUAACAUACCUUCUGAAGUUCCCCUGUAAUCCUGUGGAAUAAUGACUAUUUUUCUUUACAUAUUUGUUUAAAGAGUCAGAUUAGGAAUAACUUAAUUGUUGAAAAGCAUCUAUGAAUUAUGAUACCUCCUAAUAAAGGAUUAUAUUUGUGUUUUGCAGUUAAUAUGGAAAGCAGAAUGGACUACUUUGCCCAAAAUCCAAAGUGUAAAUGUGUGAGGCUUCACUAUGAGACGAUAAGGUUUUUGGGCAAUAAGAUUAUUAUUUUUAAAACCUGAUUUCUUUCUCAGUGGAAAAUGCUAUUAUUACUAAAAUCCCUCUUUUUAAACGGGAUAAAAUGACUUUUAACACAGAAUGUAAGAUUUCAAGACAAAUAUUACAUAAGCACUCUUACUUUAAUCUCUCUGUUAUGAAGUUAGCUGAUACAAGUGAAGAUAAUUCAUCUCAGUAAACACAAAUAUUAAACGUUUUGUAAAAAAUAAAGAACAGAAUGCAAAUACAAAGUGAUUUUAUUUUCCAUGCAGUUUUUCUCCUAAAAGAGUUUGGUGGAUCCUUGGAAAAUAUAGGGAACUUUCAAAAUCGCUUUUCUGCCAUGAUUAAUAGUAUCAUAAAAAUAACCUUUUCUUUUUUCCAAUUUAUAAAUUUAUUACUUAUCCCACUUGAUUUGAAAAUAGAGAUAUGAGGAAGGUAGGACAGAUAUAAUUAUCUGAAUUGUAAGGUAGAUUUACUGAAGUUUAGAGAAUUUGCAUCACAAGUCACACAACUAGUAUGUAUUUUAACUAAGAUUGGAAGCUGGAUAUUCUAGCUUCUAAUCCCGGGGUUCUCCUAUCGUCACAGCAACCUCUGUAGGCUUCACACCCAUAAUCUGUGACCUGUGACUGCAUAGAAUCUUCACAAGAACACUGUAAAGUAAAUGUUAUUAGCCUCACUCUUCAGAUGGCAAGACUGAGGUUAAGAAAGGGCCUUAAGUCAUAGAGCUGACAAGUGGCAGAGUGGGCAACUGAAUCCGAGUUUGUCUGCAUCUAUAAUAAAUGAUCUUUCCUUCAUGCUCUCUGACCUUUCUAGACCUCUAGACUGUUGGUACAUUGACAAGGAGACAUCAGGGGAAUAAUCACAUUGGACAAAGAAAGCAUCCAUGUUUACCAAACGCCUUAGACAGUCAAGGUACCAAGGGAAGUUGACUCUUUACAGUGUGUCUAUAGGGAAAAGACUUUCAGCUGCUCUGAUCAAUGGCCAAUACACUAAGGAGACAAAUACAGCCUCCGUAGUUCAAUGCUCAUGCCACCAGGAAAAGACCAAAAUGAUACUGCAGUUUUAUGACCAAGAUAAUUCACCUGUUGUUGGAGUAAAUAUCCUGAAGAUUUAAGAAAGCUAGAAAAAUGUAGGUGUGAGAGCACAAUUUUAUUAUCAAAAUCAAUAUAUUAUAUUUAAUGUAUGCUUUGGCCAGAAGAAAAACCCAAGUAACAGGAUGAGGAACCUGAAUAUAAGAAAAAGGUUUUAGAAAACAAUAAAGGGUAAGGUUCAAAAUGAGAAACCAAAAACAAACCUUCUAAGAAGAAGGAAGUUAGGGAAAAAUAUCAUCCGUAACAAAACAAUGCAAUGGAAGUUGCAUUUAACUAGAAAAGAGUCUAAUGGGAACAUCCUAAGUCAUGAUAAGGCCAGAGCCUGAAGGGUGGAUCACAGAGUCCACAGUAGAUACUAUGUUAGGCUUCUGGUUCUCUUCAUAAGAAAUCGUGACCCAAACCCAAAGACAGACAAAUAAGUACUAGAUGAUGGAUGAACAGAUGGAUAAAUAGAUAAUAGAUUUCUGUAAGUUGAAAACGCAGAUGCUGGUGAAUAGGUUGUUAUACCUCAUUUGGCCAAGUUUAUGGAUUUCAAUUCUUUCAUUGAAGCAUUCAUUUCUUCACUAAAAUGCUGUCCAAAUCUGUUAAAUUGAUGAAUGCAUAAGUUUAUUUGUCCUGGAAACAAAUGCUUACAGAUUUUCUUUGGUUCCUUUUCUAAAAUAUUUAAAAUUUUUGUUGUACUGACCUUUAGGAUACUCUGGUUUAGUUUUUAAUUAUCAUGAUCAUUAAUGUCAUUGGUUUUCCCUAAUUAAAACCCUCUGCUUUAACAUAAAAAAAAAUAGAAUGUGUAAAUAUGCUUCAUAAGCCAAUAAUUUUGCCAUAAUGAGAAUAUCUGGUAAAAUCUUAAGAUUGCUGAAUAAAAAAUAGGUAAACGUUUUCACUAAUAAUUAGGCUUAGAGGACUUUUUAUUUUAAUUUAAAUUACUAGCUAGAAAAAGAGUAGGUAAAAGUUAUGCACUAGGCUUCAUUGUUAUUAAUUCAGUUCCUUUUUUGAUACUGGCCUUGAGUUUGGUACUUCAGCUUCUGAGCUUUUAUCAAAAAUGGGGAAAAAUAAAUCCAUGAAAAGCUAAGCGUGUCCCUUUAAUUCUUGCUGAGUGAAGUAACAUUUCAAAUGUGCAGUUGCCUUAUGCUGUUCACAACAUGCACUGAACAGAGUCUGAGAAUAACAUUAAAUUCCAACACUAAUCUCCUUCUUUUGAAUUCCCAUGGCAGUUUAUCUGUGCAUUAUGACUAACCUCUUUCUCUCUUCUUUUAUAGUUACUUAUGUAUGUGUCUCAUAUCCAAGCACAUUUUAUAAGCUGCUUGAAGACAGGUUUUCUAUCUGUUUCCUCUUGGAAACCUCUGCCAAGAGCUAGCAGAGUGUUUUAUAUAGUAAGUGCUCAGAAAUGAAAAUGCAUUAAAUGAAAAGCAUAUUAGGACAUUGGUUAGUUGUACAAACCACAGUAAAUAGUACAAGGUAAAUCAAGUUUUACUGACCAAGGAGAGAUCAGUGUAAAAACCUAAUAUAAGUAUCAUAAGGAAUGUCUUGUUUAAAUAAUUGUUUUUUAGGGAAACUUGAAACAUAUAGCACUGCUAAGCUAUUUUGCAUAGAAAACUUUAUGCAAGCCAAAAUUAUCCUUGUUUUAAAGAUAAACAUCAGGGACACACCUGAUUUCCUUUCCAGAUCACAAAUUAAUGAAUGAUUUAUUUUAGUAAGAUAGAACUUGAAAGAUAUUCCUCCUCUUUUCUUGUACAGACGCAAUACAACAUAGAAAGUAACAUACUUGUGACAUAUAGCAAGAUAAAAUGGUUGUAAAAUAAUGAAUGCUUCCCUCCCUUUGUUGUAAGAAAUAAAAUUUGUCUUGGGACUUAACAUCCCAAGCCUGGGGUACUCUACUCUCCUGGCGACAGUACUUCCAAUCUAUCUUUUGAAAUGAAGGAAAGUUAUUACAAGUUUAAUAGUCAAGAGGCAUUUUAAAGCUCUGACACAGUUGUCCAUAUGUGAACUAAAUGUUCUGACCAGUGGUUCUUCCUCACAUUUAAAUUUAAACCCCUUAACGUCUUGCUUAUCAUUGAGAAACUGUGUUCUUUUAAAAUGUGACUAAAUAUUUAACUUUGUUUUAAAAAAUAGGCAAGUAAUUUUAGGCCAAGAGACGAAUAUUUAACUUUGUUCCUUAGAAGAUUCUACUAUUUACAUUCCAUCAAAUAAAACACUAAUACUGAAUUUCGACCUGCUUCAUAAAUCUGAAGCCAUUUUUUUUUACAAAUAACAUAUCUGAAAUAUUUAACCCAUUCUUAGACAGGACCUAUAUUUUUCACUGUUAUUUCACAUUUUAUCUGAAGAGUCCAUUAAUGAAUGUGUUGCCUCUUCAAGAGCAAGAGUAUGGGCUGGCCUGGUGUCGCAGUGGUUAAG